UUAAGCGACUAAGCGUACACGGUGGAUGCCCUGGCAGUCAGAGGCGAUGAAGGACGUGCUAAUCUGCGAUAAGCGUCGGUGAGGUGAUAUGAACCGUUAUAACCGGCGAUUUCCGAAUGGGGAAACCCAGUGUGAUUCGUCACACUAUCAUUAACUGAAUCCAUAGGUUAAUGAGGCGAACCGGGGGAACUGAAACAUCUAAGUACCCCGAGGAAAAGAAAUCAACCGAGAUUCCCCCAGUAGCGGCGAGCGAACGGGGAGGAGCCCAGAGCCUGAAUCAGUGUGUGUGUUAGUGGAAGCGUCUGGAAAGGCGCGCGAUACAGGGUGACAGCCCCGUACACAAAAAUGCACAUAUUGUGAGCUCGAUGAGUAGGGCGGGACACGUGGUAUCCUGUCUGAAUAUGGGGGGACCAUCCUCCAAGGCUAAAUACUCCUGACUGACCGAUAGUGAACCAGUACCGUGAGGGAAAGGCGAAAAGAACCCCGGCGAGGGGAGUGAAAAAGAACCUGAAACCGUGUACGUACAAGCAGUGGGAGCCUCUUAAUGGGGUGACUGCGUACCUUUUGUAUAAUGGGUCAGCGACUUAUAUUCUGUAGCAAGGUUAACCGAAUAGGGGAGCCGAAGGGAAACCGAGUCUUAACUGGGCGUUAAGUUGCAGGGUAUAGACCCGAAACCCGGUGAUCUAGCCAUGGGCAGGUUGAAGGUUGGGUAACACUAACUGGAGGACCGAACCGACUAAUGUUGAAAAAUUAGCGGAUGACUUGUGGCUGGGGGUGAAAGGCCAAUCAAACCGGGAGAUAGCUGGUUCUCCCCGAAAGCUAUUUAGGUAGCGCCUCGUGAAUUCAUCUCCGGGGGUAGAGCACUGUUUCGGCAAGGGGGUCAUCCCGACUUACCAACCCGAUGCAAACUGCGAAUACCGGAGAAUGUUAUCACGGGAGACACACGGCGGGUGCUAACGUCCGUCGUGAAGAGGGAAACAACCCAGACCGCCAGCUAAGGUCCCAAAGUCAUGGUUAAGUGGGAAACGAUGUGGGAAGGCCCAGACAGCCAGGAUGUUGGCUUAGAAGCAGCCAUCAUUUAAAGAAAGCGUAAUAGCUCACUGGUCGAGUCGGCCUGCGCGGAAGAUGUAACGGGGCUAAACCAUGCACCGAAGCUGCGGCAGCGACACUAUGUGUUGUUGGGUAGGGGAGCGUUCUGUAAGCCUGUGAAGGUGGCCUGUGAGGGUUGCUGGAGGUAUCAGAAGUGCGAAUGCUGACAUAAGUAACGAUAAAGCGGGUGAAAAGCCCGCUCGCCGGAAGACCAAGGGUUCCUGUCCAACGUUAAUCGGGGCAGGGUGAGUCGACCCCUAAGGCGAGGCCGAAAGGCGUAGUCGAUGGGAAACAGGUUAAUAUUCCUGUACUUGGUGUUACUGCGAAGGGGGGACGGAGAAGGCUAUGUUGGCCGGGCGACGGUUGUCCCGGUUUAAGCGUGUAGGCUGGUUUUCCAGGCAAAUCCGGAAAAUCAAGGCUGAGGCGUGAUGACGAGGCACUACGGUGCUGAAGCGACAAAUGCCCUGCUUCCAGGAAAAGCCUCUAAGCAUCAGGUAACAUCAAAUCGUACCCCAAACCGACACAGGUGGUCAGGUAGAGAAUACCAAGGCGCUUGAGAGAACUCGGGUGAAGGAACUAGGCAAAAUGGUGCCGUAACUUCGGGAGAAGGCACGCUGAUAUGUAGGUGAAGCGACUUGCUCGUGGAGCUGAAAUCAGUCGAAGAUACCAGCUGGCUGCAACUGUUUAUUAAAAACACAGCACUGUGCAAACACGAAAGUGGACGUAUACGGUGUGACGCCUGCCCGGUGCCGGAAGGUUAAUUGAUGGGGUUAGCGGUAACGCGAAGCUCUUGAUCGAAGCCCCGGUAAACGGCGGCCGUAACUAUAACGGUCCUAAGGUAGCGAAAUUCCUUGUCGGGUAAGUUCCGACCUGCACGAAUGGCGUAAUGAUGGCCAGGCUGUCUCCACCCGAGACUCAGUGAAAUUGAACUCGCUGUGAAGAUGCAGUGUACCCGCGGCAAGACGGAAAGACCCCGUGAACCUUUACUAUAGCUUGACACUGAACAUUGAGCCUUGAUGUGUAGGAUAGGUGGGAGGCUUUGAAGUGUGGACGCCAGUCUGCAUGGAGCCGACCUUGAAAUACCACCCUUUAAUGUUUGAUGUUCUAACGUGGGCCCCUUACCGGGGUUGCGGACAGUGUCUGGUGGGUAGUUUGACUGGGGCGGUCUCCUCCUAAAGAGUAACGGAGGAGCACGAAGGUUGGCUAAUCCUGGUCGGACAUCAGGAGGUUAGUGCAAUGGCAUAAGCCAGCUUGACUGCGAGCGUGACGGCGCGAGCAGGUGCGAAAGCAGGUCAUAGUGAUCCGGUGGUUCUGAAUGGAAGGGCCAUCGCUCAACGGAUAAAAGGUACUCCGGGGAUAACAGGCUGAUACCGCCCAAGAGUUCAUAUCGACGGCGGUGUUUGGCACCUCGAUGUCGGCUCAUCACAUCCUGGGGCUGAAGUAGGUCCCAAGGGUAUGGCUGUUCGCCAUUUAAAGUGGUACGCGAGCUGGGUUUAGAACGUCGUGAGACAGUUCGGUCCCUAUCUGCCGUGGGCGCUGGAGAACUGAGGGGGGCUGCUCCUAGUACGAGAGGACCGGAGUGGACGCAUCACUGGUGUUCGGGUUGUCAUGCCAAUGGCACUGCCCGGUAGCUAAAUGCGGAAGAGAUAAGUGCUGAAAGCAUCUAAGCACGAAACUUGCCCCGAGAUGAGUUCUCCCUGACUCCUUGAGAGUCCUGAAGGAACGUUGAAGACGACGACGUUGAUAGGCCGGGUGUGUAAGCGCAGCGAUGCGUUGAGCUAACCGGUACUAAUGAACCGUGAGGCUUAACCUU
Molecule: ribosomal RNA, 2902 nt
Filed under: Escherichia coli
Lineage: Bacteria; Pseudomonadati; Pseudomonadota; Gammaproteobacteria; Enterobacterales; Enterobacteriaceae
Also listed under: 9 other names
Description: bacterial LSU rRNA
Rfam family: Bacterial large subunit ribosomal RNA
Source: RNAcentral